GAUGAACGCUGGCGGCGUGCCUAAUACAUGCAAGUCGAGCGAACAGACGAGGAGCUUGCUCCUCGGACGUUAGCGGCGGACGGGUGAGUAACACGUGGAUAACCUACCUAUAAGACUGGGAUAACUUCGGGAAACCGGAUCUAAUACCGGAUAAUAUAUGGAACCGCCUUGUUCAAUAGUGAAAGACGGUGUUGCUGUCUCUUAUAGCUGCAUCCGCGCGGCAUUAGCUGGUUGGGAAGGUAACGGCUUACCACGGCAACGAUGCGUAGCCGACCUGAGAGGGUGAUCGGCCACACUGGAGCUGAGACACGGUCCAGACUCCUACGGGAGGCAGCAGUAGGGAAUCUUCGGCAGUGGGCGAAAGCAUGACGGAGCAACGCCGCGUGAGUGACGAAGGUCUUCGGAUCGUAAAACUCUGUUAUUAGGGAAGAACAAAUGUGUAAGUAAAUAUGCACGUCUUGACGGUACCUAAUCAGAAAGCUACGGCUAACUACGUG
Molecule: ribosomal RNA, 497 nt
Filed under: uncultured bacterium
Lineage: Bacteria
Description: partial 16S ribosomal RNA
Rfam family: Bacterial small subunit ribosomal RNA
Source: RNAcentral